ACUCUGUAGACCAGGCUGACCU
RNAcentral lists this non-coding RNA (22 nucleotides) under Mus musculus (house mouse). Lineage: Eukaryota; Metazoa; Chordata; Mammalia; Rodentia; Muridae. The record is from RNAcentral.